UACGGGAGGCAGCAGUGGGGAAUAUUGCACAAUGGGCGAAAGCCUGAUGCAGCUAUGCCGCGUGUAUGAAGAAGGCCUUAGGGUUGUAAAGUACUUUCAUCGGGGAGGAAAAAACAAAACUAAUAAUUUUAUUUCUUGACGUUACCCGAAAAAGAAGCACCGGCUAACUCCGUGCCAGCAGCCGCGGUAAUACGGAGGGUGCUAGCGUUAAUCAGAAUUACUGGGCGUAAAGAGCACGUAGGUGGUUUUUUUAAGUCAGAUGUGAAUCCCUGGGCUUAACCUAGGAACUGCAUUUUGAAACUGAAAUACUAGAGUAUCGUAGAGGGAGGUAGAAUUCUAGGUGUAGCGGUGAAAUGCGUAGAUAUCUGGAGGAUACCUGUGGCGAAAGCGGCCUCCUAAACGAAUACUGACACUGAGGUGCGAAAGCGUGGGGAGCAAACAGGGAUUAGAUACC
RNAcentral lists this ribosomal RNA (454 nucleotides) under uncultured bacterium. Its description in RNAcentral is "bacterial SSU rRNA". It matches the Rfam family "Bacterial small subunit ribosomal RNA", at positions 340 to 786 of the family's 1533-position model. The record is from RNAcentral.